Rattus norvegicus (Norway rat) is the source of this 1788-nucleotide non-coding RNA. The record is from RefSeq and is a predicted model, not a curated record. NCBI's taxonomy places the organism in Eukaryota, Metazoa, Chordata, Mammalia, Rodentia, Muridae.
CCUAGUGGACAUAUGAGCCAGAGGAGGACACAGAUCAGGUCUCAAAUCUGUGCAGCAUUCACAUCUUCCUAUCUGCUGGGGUUACAGGUGCACGGCCAUACCCUGCUUUUAUAUGGGCAAUUGAGAGGGACUCGGUUCCUCCCGUUUGAGCAGCAAAACACCCAUGGAGCCAGGCAUAUUAGUGCGCCCACGAUCCCAGCAUUGUGGAGGCAGAGGCAGGAGGAUCUCUGAGUUGGAGGCCAGCCUGGGCUACAUAGUGAGACUCUUAUCUCAAAACAAAAACGAACACAAAUGAAGCAAAUAAGCCUUGUUCACCUUUAAGUCCUAAUCAGAAAUUCUGAGAGCAGCCAAGGCUGAACGGGGUCUGUGAGCUGCCAAAGGGCUGAGAAACUAGACGUAGGGUAAUGGGGAGCCAUGGAGGAUGUGUGAGCAAAAAAAAAGGCUUGUUCAGACUCUAUAACAGAGAGAUGACUGUGUACCAGUUGAGGACCCCCCUGAGGCAGUGGCUAGGGACAAGCUUUUGUUUUUUCACAGCAACUAGGUCUCUGCCUGAACAAUCCACACUUGUUAUCAUAACUAUUGUUGUGGUUAUUAGCGGUGGGCUCUUACUGUGAAGCCCAGGCUGGCCUGGAACUCUUAGAUAUAAGCAAUCCUCCUGCCUUCCAAUCAUAUUAUCUGAGAGUACAGAUUUGGAACACAGUAUCUGGGAAGAGAAAACCGAGGCUGAGUUUGAGCACUAUCUACACCCAGGACUGUGGCUAUCAAACCUUCAGUCAGGCUCUCUGGUUACUAGGUCAGCUUCAUCCUGAGCUCAGGCUCAGGGCCAGGGACGUCCCCAGUUCCUUGGGGCCUUCAUCCCAGCCGUCUGGGCAGCCUCCCAGGCUGACCCCUGGUGGCCCUGUUGGCCGGGCUCCAGCCGAGUGUUUCCUGCAGUGACAGGCUCUGGCCUGUAUUUCCGGAUCCAGGAAAUAUCGCCGCUUUGUCCCCAAGGCAGAGCGUGGCACAGCCGGCUGUGUGAUUCACCCCCAGCUCCCACUGGGGCCAACGCUGGAGGGAGCAGCCGCCUUCAGCCUCCACGUUUGUCCGGUUUUCCCUCGAAGGCUCCAGCUUGCUGCUGGGAGUCAGGGACAGCAGGGCUAGGGGUUAGAGAGCAGUCCUCACCCUUCAGUCCCCUGCCUUCAUUCUGUUGCAUAUCGAUUCUGUAAGGGCUGCUUUAUUUUCAUCUGUACCAACCUGAGGAGAUGUUCUGGUACAAUAUGUCUGCACCAGAAGGAGACAGGAACCUGUCAUAACUGUCCUCUGAGAGGCUCCACCAGCAGUCAACAGAAAGAGAUGCAGAGACCCACAGCCAAACAUUGGAUGGAGCUCAGGGAGUCUUAUGGAAAAGGACUGAGGGACCGGAAAAGGACAGAGUUUUCACAAGAAGAUUGACAGUGUCAACUAACCCGGACCCUUGGGGGCUCUCAAAUUGAACCACUAACCAAAGUGGAAGCAUGGCCUGGAUUUGGGCCUCUGCACAUAUGUAGCAGAUGUGCAGCUUGGUCUUUGUGAAGGUCCCGAAAACAACUGAAGUAGGGGUUGUCCCUGAGACUGUUGCCUGCCUGUGGUGCCCCAAAAUGGACUGCAUUGUCUGGCCUCAGUGGGAGAGGGUGUCCUAUCCCUGCACUGGAGGGUAGGUUGACACCAAGAUGGGGGUUCCUGUUCUCAAAAGAGAAAGGGAGAGGGAGUGGGAAGAAGACUUCUGUGGAGUACUGAGAGGAGAGGAAGGGUUGGUAUUGGAUUAUAAAA